GACAAGGAUGGCUCUAGGAAAGGUGUUUCAGUACGAGCGGCUGCUUUAACUAUAUUUUCCUGAAGCGUUGCACGCCCAAUUUGUGUCCUGCGAGUACUGGCUUCCAUUACAGACGCUUUUGUUUUGCAUUAACAAUUGCUCUUUAUUCGCGUCCUGUACUUGGCGCCGUUUUGCUUCUCUACUCCAAACUUCGACAGAGUGGUCCAUCUGCUUAAAACACUCAAACUGCCCUGUUCUACAAACAUACCCUCGAUGUGGCUCAACCUUUUCAAAACUGAAAGUGAAUGACCACGAAUGGAGAGGGUCCGUUUGGGACAGGGAAUUAAAGUUUGGCACGGCAUUCUCCACGCCGCUGUUAAAAUGCUGGGUAUUCAAAGAAGAGAAGACAUUGCAUUAAAGUUGCUUGCGAUGCUGCAUCGAUUCGUCCUCCUUAAUACAAGUUCUGACUAGUUCUGAACGAGAGUCAAGGAAGAAGACAGGAGAAGCGUGCCUCCAGAAAGCCUGAAGAGACCGCUGUCCAUAAAAAGGUGCUGAAUCAGAGUUGUGCUUAAAAGUAGACAGCCUUCUGGAAUUACACCUCCCUAAACGUGCACGUUUAAGCAGAUAUUAUUUGACCGGCCCUCUGAUCUUGAUAACUAAGAGGAAUUUUCGAAAAUUGUGAUUAAAAUUUGAAGUGUUAUUGAAAAGUUUUGUUUUUUUUCUAUUCCCCAUGAGAGUAACAUCUAAUUGCAUUGCAUUUCACAGAGGCAUAGCCUACGAGCAACUUAAUAAGAAACCAUGCAGUUAAAAUACAGUAAAUUGUUUUAAUGACUAUUUAUAUGAAAAUAUGUUUCAAUGCUGAUGUCCACUAUAAGAUUGAACUAAUGAUAAACUCUAGGUCCCCGGCAUUAUUAGAAUUAUUUAAGAAUAAAUCAUUCUAAUAAUGUCAGGGACUCAGAGUUUAUCAUUAAUACCUGUGACACCCUUGUUUCGUGGGACUAUAUUUAUAUAACUAAUCGUGGGUUUUUGUUUGUCGCGAUGUUCUGGCAUAUAUAAACAUUUUUAAAUAAAGGUUUCUUUCAAAUAAGUUAAAUAAAGGUUUUUAGAAGUCUAUACCUA
Molecule: long non-coding RNA, 1098 nt
Organism: Anguilla anguilla (European eel)
Lineage: Eukaryota; Metazoa; Chordata; Actinopteri; Anguilliformes; Anguillidae
Exons: 2
Source: RefSeq, a predicted model, not a curated record